This 207-nucleotide ribosomal RNA is filed under the name uncultured bacterium. RNAcentral describes it as "partial 16S ribosomal RNA". It matches the Rfam family "Bacterial small subunit ribosomal RNA", at positions 568 to 774 of the family's 1533-position model. The record is from RNAcentral.
CGCGUAGGCGGCUUUGCGUGUCUCCCGUGAAAUCCCUCGGCUCAACCGAGGACGUGCGGAAGAAACUGCAAGGCUCGAGUCCGGAAGAGGGGGGCGGAAUUCCCAGUGUAGCGGUGAAAUGCGUAGAUAUUGGGAGGAACACCAGUGGCGAAGGCGGUCCCCUGGGCCGGAACUGACGCUGAGGCGCGAAAGCGUGGGUAGCAAACG